This 236-nucleotide long non-coding RNA is filed under the name Setaria italica (foxtail millet). Its description in RNAcentral is "long non-coding RNA (SITA_LNC002111)". Lineage: Eukaryota; Viridiplantae; Streptophyta; Magnoliopsida; Poales; Poaceae. The record is from RNAcentral.
GGAGACACAAGGAUUUGUUUCUCCGAAGUUCAUAUUUACCCCUGUGAAUCCUACGUCUCCGUUGAGGACCUUAUUGGAAUACGAGUCUAUUUCAACUCCCUUCCAACAAGCCAGGUCUCUUUCAACCACUUUCCUCGUUUCCACUAGUUGAUCUUUUUCCUUGCGGAGGUAAGAUCACAGCCCUCAUAAACGUGCCGCUACUCACCACACCUUGGGAGCUAACCGGCGACGCUUAG